UGUGAGCUCAAUAGUCUUCCCAAAGCUAACCUUAGAAUUGCCACUGUUACCUAUUCCACUGCCUGAAAAAAUACCAUUUACAAAGGCAUGAAGAACAUGGCCGAGUGAUUGUACGUGAAGAUUGGACUGAGUCCCAUUUGUGAGAAAUGGUUCAUCGCCACUGAUUUCAACGCUUGUCGAAUACCAUAGGUAGUCACUAGCAUCAGCAGUAGUAUUUAUCUGCUCGAGUAACCCAGUUUUUAUGAAGGCAUCACUCUUUGAGAUACCGACAGGUUCAAUGACAAAACUCCAAUCUGACUGGAAUACUUGAGAAGAGUUGAUG
RNAcentral lists this unclassified non-coding RNA (322 nucleotides) under Hevea brasiliensis (rubber tree). Lineage: Eukaryota; Viridiplantae; Streptophyta; Magnoliopsida; Malpighiales; Euphorbiaceae. The record is from RNAcentral.